UACGUAGGGGUGCGAGCGUUGUCCGGAAUUACUGGCGUAAAGAGCUCGUAGGUGGUUUGUCGCGUUGUUCGUGAAAACCGGGGGCUUAACCCUCGGCGUGCGGGCGAUACGGGCAGACUUGAGUACUGCAGGGGAGACUGGAAUUCCUGGUGUAGCGGUGGAAUGCGCAGAUAUCAGGAGGAACACCGGUGGCGAAGGCGGGUCUCUGGGCCGAUACUGACGCUGAGGAGCGAAAGCGUGGGGAGCGAACAGG
RNAcentral lists this ribosomal RNA (253 nucleotides) under uncultured bacterium. Its description in RNAcentral is "partial 16S ribosomal RNA". It matches the Rfam family "Bacterial small subunit ribosomal RNA", at positions 524 to 776 of the family's 1533-position model. The record is from RNAcentral.